AACGAACGCUGGCGGCGUGCUUAACACAUGCAAGUCGAACGCGAAAGGGACUUCGGUCCUGAGUAAAGUGGCGCACGGGUGAGUAACGCGUAGAUAACCUGUCUUCAUGUCUGGAAUAAUACGCCGAAAGGGGUACUAAUACCGGAUAUUCUUGCUUUUCAUAAGUUAUGCAAGCAAAGGUGGCCUCUGCAUAUGCUACUGCAUGAAGAGGGGUCUGCGUACCAUUAGCUAGUAGGUGGGGUAAUGGCCUACCUAGGCGACGAUGGUUAGCGGGUCUGAGAGGAUGAUCCGCCACACUGGCACUGGAACACGGGCCAGACUCCUACGGGAGGCAGCAGUGAGGAAUAUUGCGCAAUGGGGGAAACCCUGACGCAGCGACGCCGCGUGAGUGAGGAAGGCCUUCGGGUCGUAAAGCUCUGUCAAGAGGAAAGAAGUGUACAAUGGCUAAUACCUGUUGUAUUUGACGGUACCUCUAAAGGAAGCACCGGCUAACUCCGUGCCAGCAGCAGC
RNAcentral lists this ribosomal RNA (510 nucleotides) under uncultured bacterium. RNAcentral describes it as "bacterial SSU rRNA". It matches the Rfam family "Bacterial small subunit ribosomal RNA", at positions 29 to 518 of the family's 1533-position model. The record is from RNAcentral.